RNAcentral lists this non-coding RNA (176 nucleotides) under Fusibacter bizertensis. RNAcentral describes it as "6S RNA". It matches the Rfam family "6S / SsrS RNA". From Rfam's summary of the family: E. coli 6S RNA was the first non coding RNA to be sequenced, but its function was unknown until recently. It consists of 184 nucleotides that fold into an extended hairpin structure with a large single-stranded internal bulge. The 6S RNA specifically associates with RNA polymerase holoenzyme containing the sigma70 specificity factor. The record is from RNAcentral. Lineage: Bacteria; Bacillati; Bacillota; Clostridia; Eubacteriales; Fusibacteraceae.
UAUCAUCUGGAAUGUUGGUCAUCUUUUUAAAUUUUACCACUGAUUAUUUAUAGGGAGAACGUGUUCUGCUGUGUAUGACAAGCUGCUUUAAGUAGAAGUCAGAAACAAUAGAUAGUCCACCCACCUAGUGAAGGUGUGGUGUGAGAUUUUUGGGGUGACGGCAUUCUGGAUCACCA